Molecule: ribosomal RNA, 445 nt
Filed under: uncultured bacterium
Lineage: Bacteria
Description: partial 16S ribosomal RNA
Rfam family: Bacterial small subunit ribosomal RNA
Source: RNAcentral
GUGAGGAAUAUUGGUCAAUGGGCGGGAGCCUGAACCAGCCAAGUCGCGUGAAGGAAGAAGGAUCUAUGGUUCGUAAACUUCUUUUGCAGGGGAAUAAAGUGCAGGACGUGUCCUGUUUUGUAUGUACCCUGAGAAUAAGGAUCGGCUAACUCCGUGCCAGCAGCCGCGGUACUACGGAGGAUCCGAGCGUUAUCCGUAUUUAUUGGGUUUAAAGGGUGCGUAGGUGGUUUGAUAAGUCAGCGGUGAAAGUUUGCAGCUUAACUGUAAAAAUGCCGUUGAAACUGUCGGACUUGAGUGUAAAUGAGGUAGGCGGAAUGCGUGGUGUAGCGGUGAAAUGCAUAGAUAUCACGCAGAACUCCGAUUGCGAAGGCAGCUUACUAAGCUACAACUGACACUGAAGCACGAAAGCGUGGGGAUCAAACAGGAUUAGAAACCCGGGUAGUCC